RNAcentral lists this ribosomal RNA (397 nucleotides) under uncultured bacterium. RNAcentral's name for it is "bacterial SSU rRNA". It matches the Rfam family "Bacterial small subunit ribosomal RNA", at positions 29 to 429 of the family's 1533-position model. The record is from RNAcentral.
AUUGAACGCUGGCGGAAUGCUUUACACAUGCAAGUCGAGCGGCAGCGCGGGGGCAACCCUGGCGGCGAGCGGCGAACGGGUGAGUAACAUAUCGGAACGUACCCAGUCGUGGGGGAUAACUAUCCGAAAGGAUAGCUAAUACCGCAUACGUCCUGAGGGAGAAAGCGGGGGAUCGCAAGACCUCGCGCGAUUGGAGCGGCCGAUAUCGGAUUAGCUAGUUGGUGGGGUAAAGGCUCACCAAGGCGACGAUCCGUAGCGGGUCUGAGAGGACGACCCGCCACACUGGAACUGAGACACGGUCCAGACUCCUACGGGAGGCAGCAGUGGGGAAUUUUGGACAAUGGGGGCAACCCUGAUCCAGCCAUUCCGCGUGAGUGAAGAAGGCCUCGGUUGUAAG